Molecule: unclassified non-coding RNA, 337 nt
Filed under: soil metagenome
Description: partial contains 5.8S ribosomal RNA, internal transcribed spacer 2, and large subunit ribosomal RNA
Rfam family: 5.8S ribosomal RNA (bases 1-120)
Source: RNAcentral
GAUGAAGAACGCAGCGAAAUGCGAUAAGUAGUGUGAAUUGCAGAAUUCAGUGAAUCAUCGAAUCUUUGAACGCACAUUGCGCCCCUUGGUAUUCCAUGGGGCAUGCCUGUUCGAGCGUCAUUUGUACCUUCAAGCUCUGCUUGGUGUUGGGUGUUUGUCUCGCCUCUGCGUGUAGACUCGCCUCAAAACAAUUGGCAGCCGGCGUAUUGAUUUCGGAGCGCAGUACAUCUCGCGCUUUGCACUCAUAACGACGACGUCCAAAAGUACAUUUUUACACACUUGACCUCGGAUCAGGUAGGGAUACCCGCUGAACUUAAGCAUAUCAAUAAGCGGAGGA